UACGUAGGGGGCAAGCGUUAUCCGGAUUUACUGGGUGUAAAGGGAGCGUAGACGGUAUGGUAAGUCAGAUGUGAAAGCCCGGGGCUCAACCCCGGGACUGCAUUUGAAACUAUCAAACUGGAGUGCAGGAGAGGUAAGUGGAAUUCCUAGUGUAGCGGUGAAAUGCGUAGAUAUUAGGAGGAACACCAGUGGCGAAGGCGACUUACUGGACUGUAACUGACGUUGAGGCUCGAAAGCGUGGGGAGCAAACAGGAUUAGAUACCCCGGUAGUCCCUGAGCGGG
RNAcentral lists this ribosomal RNA (282 nucleotides) under uncultured prokaryote. Its description in RNAcentral is "partial 16S ribosomal RNA". It matches the Rfam family "Bacterial small subunit ribosomal RNA", at positions 524 to 803 of the family's 1533-position model. The record is from RNAcentral.